GAUUCGCCCUUGUGCCAGCAGCCGCGGUAAUUCCAGCUCUAAUAGCGUAUAUUAAAGUUGUUGCAGUUAAAAAGCUCGUGGUUGUAUUUUGACCUCGGACAGGCGAUCGGCUUCUGUCGUAUUGCCCUUCCUUGGUCUUCCUUCUGUGGACUGUCUAUUAAGUUAGGCGUGGACGCAGAUCGUUUACUGUGAGUAAAUUAGAGUGUUCAAAGCAGGCAAUACGCUUGAAUACAUUAGCAUGGAAUAAUAGAAUAGGACGUCGGGUCUAUUUUGUUGGUUUAGGAACCGUCGUAAUGAUUAAUAGGGACAGUUGGGGCCGUUUAUAUUCCGUAGUCAGAGGUGAAAUUCUUGGAUUUACGGAAGAUAAACUACUGCGAAAGCAUUCGGCAAGGAUGUUUUCGUUAAUCAAGAACGAAAGUUAGGGGAUCGAAGACGAUCAGAUACCGUCGUAGUCUUAACCAUAAACUAUGCCGACUCGGGAUCAGCAAGAGUCGUUUACGACCUUGCUGGCACCGUGUGAGAAAUCAAAGUCUUUGGGUUCCGGGGGGAGUAUGGUCGCAAGGCUGAAACUUAAAGGAAUUGACGGAAGGGCACCACCAGGAGUGGAGCCUGCGGCUUAAUUUGACUCAACACGGGGAAACUCACCAGGUCCAGACAUAGCGAGGAUUGACAGAUUGACAGCUCUUUCUUGAUUCUAUGGGUGGUGGUGCAUGGCCGUUCUUAGUUGGUGGAGUGAUUUGUCUGGUUAAUUCCGAUAACGAACGAGACCUCAGCCUGCUAAAUAGUAACGCUUGCUUCGGCAGGUGGAUUACUUCUUAGAGGGACUUUUCGAGUCAUCGAAAGGAAGUUUGAGGCAAUAACAGGUCUGUGAUGCCCAAGG
This 880-nucleotide ribosomal RNA is filed under the name uncultured eukaryote. RNAcentral's name for it is "SSU rRNA". It matches the Rfam family "Eukaryotic small subunit ribosomal RNA", at positions 554 to 1476 of the family's 1831-position model. The record is from RNAcentral.